RNAcentral lists this ribosomal RNA (372 nucleotides) under uncultured organism. RNAcentral's name for it is "partial 16S ribosomal RNA". It matches the Rfam family "Bacterial small subunit ribosomal RNA", at positions 527 to 896 of the family's 1533-position model. The record is from RNAcentral.
GUAGGUGGCAAGCGUUGUCCGGAAUUAUUGGGCGUAAAGCGCGCGCAGGCGGUUCUUUAAGUCUGAUGUGAAAGCCCACGGGCUCAACCGUGGAGGGUCAUUGGAAACUGGAGAACUUGAGUACAGAAGAGGAAAGCGGAAUUCCACGUGUAGCGGUGAAAUGCGUAGAGAUGUGGAGGAACACCAGUGGCGAAGGCGGCUUUCUGGUCUGUAACUGACGCUGAGGCGCGAAAGCGUGGGGAGCAAACAGGAUUAGAUACCCUGGUAGUCCACGCCGUAAACAAUGAGUGCUAAGUGUUAGGGGGUUUCCGCCCCUUAGUGCUGCAGCUAACGCAUUAAGCACUCCGCCUGGGGAGUACGGCCGCAAGGCUG